UCCUCGAUAGCUCAAUGAUAGGAGCUCGGCUGUAACCGGGGUGUUGUAGGUUCGAGCCCUACUCGGGGAG
RNAcentral lists this transfer RNA (70 nucleotides) under Lachnospiraceae bacterium. RNAcentral describes it as "tRNA-Tyr". It matches the Rfam family "tRNA". From Rfam's summary of the family: Transfer RNA (tRNA) molecules are approximately 80 nucleotides in length. Their secondary structure includes four short double-helical elements and three loops (D, anti-codon, and T loops). Lineage: Bacteria; Bacillati; Bacillota; Clostridia; Lachnospirales; Lachnospiraceae. RNAcentral also lists the same sequence under 1 other name. The record is from RNAcentral.